CGUUCAAAAUAGGUAUAAGAGGUCCCGCCUGCCCUGUGACUAAAAGUUUAACGGCCGCGGUAUUUUGACCGUGCGAAGGUAGCGUAAUCACUUGUCUUUUAAAUAAAGACCUGUAUGAAUGGCAUAACGAGGGCUAAGCUGUCUCCUUUUUCCAGUCAAUGAAAUUGAUCUGCUCGUGCAGAAGCGAGCAUAAAGACAUAAGACGAGAAGACCCUAUGGAGCUUUCAGACACAAGAACAGCCCACAUCAAAACACCUAGAUGAUUAGGAAAAAAUCAAAUGGCCCCUGUUCCCAUGUCUUUGGUUGGGGCGACCGCGGGGAAACAAACAACCCCCACGUGGAAAAGGACAAAAUCCUUAAACAUCAGACCCACAAGUCUAAAAAACAGAAAUUCUGACCAAAAAGAUCCGGCAAAGCCGAUUAACGGACCCAGUUACCCUAGGGAUAACAGCGCAAUCCCCUUUUAGAGCCCAUAUCGACAAGGGGGUUUACGACCUCGAUGUUGGAUCAGGACUUCCUAAUGGUGCAGCCGCUAUUAAGGGUUCGUUUGUUCAACGAUUAAAGUCCUACGUAGUCUGAGUUCAGACCGAGGG
This 593-nucleotide ribosomal RNA is filed under the name Psammogobius biocellatus (sleepy goby). RNAcentral's name for it is "partial large subunit ribosomal RNA". It matches the Rfam family "Bacterial large subunit ribosomal RNA", at positions 1828 to 2622 of the family's 2925-position model. The record is from RNAcentral. Lineage: Eukaryota; Metazoa; Chordata; Actinopteri; Gobiiformes; Gobiidae.